Long non-coding RNA from Carcharodon carcharias (great white shark), 798 nucleotides. RefSeq lists it as uncharacterized. NCBI's taxonomy places the organism in Eukaryota, Metazoa, Chordata, Chondrichthyes, Lamniformes, Lamnidae. The record is from RefSeq and is a predicted model, not a curated record. The transcript has 4 exons.
GCUGCUCAGAGCGGGUGAGAGAAAGUCGAGUGGAGCAAACUAACAGAAUUAGUGGGCGUGUGAGAAGGAAUGAAGCGGAGUGGGCAGGGAGGCUUCAUAAAGACAGAGUGCAGGCCGCAGACCCCAAAUAACAAGGAUGUUAGAAGAGGAGGGUAAACUCGAGGGAGAUGAGAAACCAAAACCAAACAUCACGUCAAAAUCUGAAAGUCACUUGAUUCAUCAGGACCUGAAUAUCACCAGCCUUUGAAUAUACCAGCAUCUAUUGUGAUCCCCAGUUGCCUGUGGAGAAGAUGAUGUUUGACCUUCUUGAAUCGCUGCAGUCCAUGUGGUGAAGGUGCUCCCACAAUGCUGUUAGGGUAUCAGAAGGGGAGGAUUUACAGUCAGGAAAAUGAAACCAAACUUCACAUCAGGAUCUGACAGUCACUUGAUCCAUCAAGCUCGAUAAUGGAAGGAAAAAGCAGUGUUUACACUGAGGAGAAACUGGAAAUGUGGGGAUUGUGGGAAGAGAUUCAAUUCCCCAUCUCAACUGGAAACUCAUCAGCGAGUUCAUGCCGGGGAGAGACCGUUCACCUGCUCCGAGUGUGGAAAGGGAUUCACUCAGUCAUCCAACCUGCUGAAACACCAGCGAGUUCACACUGGGGAGAGACCGUGCACCUGCUCUGUAUGUGGGCAUGGAUUCACUCAAUUAUCCAACCUGCUGAGACACCAGCAAUUCAACACUGAUGAGAGGCAUUUUAAAUGUUCGGACUGCGGGAAGUGCUUUAAAAGUUCUGGGGAACUGUUGUGCCAACAACGUGU